GGACUACACGGGUAUCUAAUCCCGUUCGCUCCCCUGGCUUUCGCGCCUCAGCGUCAGUAGAGAUCCAGCAGCCCGCUUUCGCCACCGGCGUUCCUUCCGAUAUCAACGCAUUUCACCGCUCCACCGGAAGUUCCGGCUGCCCCUACCUCCCUCAAGAUCUCCAGUAUCCAAGGCACUUUUCCGGUUAAGCCGAAAGCUUUCACCCCGGACUUGGAGACCCGCCUACGCGCCCUUUAAGCCCAGUGAUUCCGAACAACGUUCGCACGGUUCGUCUUACCGCGGCGGCUGGCAC
RNAcentral lists this ribosomal RNA (292 nucleotides) under uncultured bacterium. RNAcentral describes it as "partial 16S ribosomal RNA". The record is from RNAcentral. RNAcentral also lists the same sequence under 2 other names.